AUCCUCAGGUUCAUAAGUGUGAUGAUUGGGUGGUUCAUGCUGCAUGAAUGACAUCUGCCUCCUUUUGAACCUUGUUACAACAUUGGCAUAUUACCCAUCUGACG
RNAcentral lists this small nucleolar RNA (104 nucleotides) under Cavia porcellus (domestic guinea pig). RNAcentral's name for it is "Small nucleolar RNA U13". It matches the Rfam family "Small nucleolar RNA U13". The record is from Rfam by way of RNAcentral. Lineage: Eukaryota; Metazoa; Chordata; Mammalia; Rodentia; Caviidae.